AGGUCUUCGGAUGCUGACGAGUGGCGAACGGGUGAGUAAUACAUCGGAACGUGCCCGAUCGUGGGGGAUAACGAGGCGAAAGCUUUGCUAAUACCGCAUACGAUCUACGGAUGAAAGCGGGGGAUCUUCGGACCUCGCGCGGACGGAGCGGCCGAUGGCAGAUUAGGUAGUUGGUGGGAUAAAAGCUUACCAAGCCGACGAUCUGUAGCUGGUCUGAGAGGAUGAUCAGCCACACUGGGACUGAGACACGGCCCAGACUCCUACGGGAGGCAGCAGUGGGGAAUUUUGGACAAUGGGCGAAAGCCUGAUCCAGCCAUGCCGCGUGCAGGAUGAAGGCCUUCGGGUUGUAAACUGCUUUUGUACGGAACGAAAAGCCUUCUUCUAAUACAGGAGGGUCAUGACGGUACCGUAAGAAUAAGCACCGGCUAACUACGUGCCAGCAGCCGCGGUAAUACGUAGGGUGCAAGCGUUAAUCGGAAUUACUGGGCGUAAAGCGUGCGCAGGCGGUUUUGUAAGACAGAGGUGAAAUCCCCGGGCUCAACCUGGGAACUGCCUUUGUGACUGCAAGGCUGGAGUGCGGCAGAGGGGGAUGGAAUUCCGCGUGUAGCAGUGAAAUGCGUAGAUAUGCGGA
This 631-nucleotide ribosomal RNA is filed under the name Diaphorobacter sp. DNB7. RNAcentral's name for it is "bacterial SSU rRNA". It matches the Rfam family "Bacterial small subunit ribosomal RNA", at positions 74 to 702 of the family's 1533-position model. The record is from RNAcentral. Lineage: Bacteria; Pseudomonadati; Pseudomonadota; Betaproteobacteria; Burkholderiales; Comamonadaceae.